GGGAGGAUCUCUUGAGCCCAGGAGAUCGCGCCACUGCGCUCCAACCUGAGCGAGUGAACGAGACCCUGUCUCAUAAAAAAAGAAAACACACAGGAUGCGCCUAGCUAACACCGCCAAUUGGUCACUGCCAGCCGCGAUUCCAUAUGGGGAGCUUAACAAGUGGUGACCAAGAAGCAGAGUCCCUUAGCCGCUCUGUGACCUCGCCAACGGUAUAAUUUCGUCUGCAGACUUGAACCUGAGCCAUAGCCAUGAACGUUCCCAGGCACAGAUGACAGCAUCUAGGUUGUUGCUCAAAACACAGAAAGAAACUGGACCCAGCCUGAGCCAGAUUCCUUAAACCCUCAUAUAAACUCCAUUCGACAACCCCCUCCCCAUGGACAUACCUAGAGAGAACAUUCAUUUCUCUCACCACCCGUUGCAAGAACUGCUGCAGCCCACUCUGUACAAAAUCCCUGCUAAUAAAUGCUCUCGGUGCAUUA
This is a non-coding RNA of Macaca mulatta (Rhesus monkey), 479 nucleotides long. Lineage: Eukaryota; Metazoa; Chordata; Mammalia; Primates; Cercopithecidae. The record is from RefSeq and is a predicted model, not a curated record.